GAGCUUAACUUUUAUACAAUUAUUUUUCACCAAUUAAUGGAACAACUUUAGGGGGCGUCGUGAAAAAAAUUCGGAAAAAAUUUGUCACCGAGUAUAAAUAAGUUUCAAGUCUGGUUAUGGUGCGACGGAGUGAAUAAUGUUGACAAAGAGCACGUCGGAGAAAUUGAGUACUUACCAAAUCCUGGCUUUUCUGUGGAAUAUUUCCCGUUUGUGGGACAAUCAGAUUAUUUGGCACCAGUAGUCGCACUGCGUUUUAAAAACAUCACAUCAUUUAGGUUAGUGACAGUAGAAUGCAGCUUGUGGGCGCUUAACAUUAACAAAGAUGCACAGAACGCAUUGGAUUUUCAAAUAAUUCUGGGCGAACCAUAAAUGGCGGUGGUCGACAAAUGUUUAUGUAUUUCAAAUAUUUAUUAACAAAUAUAUAUGUUUCACAUAUAAUAAGAAAUUAUGGAAUAAUUACUUACUUUGUGCAGAAUAAAAAGUAAAUUUUCUUUUGUUCGAAAUUUUUAUAAAUUAACUUGUAUUAAAUAUUUAUUCUAAAUUAUAAAAAAAUAGUCUCGCGAUCAAUGAUUCCUUUAUUAUAUAUUACAUGUUACAUUAAUAAUACAGGAAGAUGUAUUUUCCAGAUUUCCAUUUUGUUUACAGAAUAUACAGAACGUAAUAUGAAAUAUCUUUAUAAAAAAAAUGGAAGCAGCAAAUAUACGUAUGAUAAUGUGUGUUUUUUUAAAUGGAUUCAAACUGCCGUGUUCAGAUUUUACUGAGAUGGCAAGUAUAUAAUGUCUAAAUGUUCAUCUCUUAUAAAUUGAAAGGCUAAAUUAAUUUUAUUGACAGAAUGGUGACUCGAGACCAUGAUGAGUUCCAUUUACAGAAUAAUUUAAU
Molecule: long non-coding RNA, 879 nt
Organism: Wasmannia auropunctata (little fire ant)
Lineage: Eukaryota; Metazoa; Arthropoda; Insecta; Hymenoptera; Formicidae
Exons: 3
Source: RefSeq, a predicted model, not a curated record